This 459-nucleotide ribosomal RNA is filed under the name uncultured bacterium. RNAcentral describes it as "partial 16S ribosomal RNA". It matches the Rfam family "Bacterial small subunit ribosomal RNA", at positions 355 to 830 of the family's 1533-position model. The record is from RNAcentral.
UGGGGAAUAUUGGACAAUGGGGGCAACCCUGAUCCAGCAAUGCCGCGUGUGUGAAGAAGGUCUUCGGAUUGUAAAGCACUUUCGACGGGGACGAUGAUGACGGUACCCGUAGAAGAAGCCCCGGCUAACUUCGUGCCAGCAGCCGCGGUAAUACGAAGGGGGCUAGCGUUGCUCGGAAUGACUGGGCGUAAAGGGCGUGUAGGCGGUUUACACAGUCAGAUGUGAAAUCCCCGGGCUUAACCUGGGAGCUGCAUUUGAUACGUGUAGACUAGAGUGUGAGAGAGGGUUGUGGAAUUCCCAGUGUAGGGGUGAAAUUCGUAGAUAUUGGGAAGAACACCGGUGGCGAAGGCGGCAACCUGGCUCAUGACUGACGCUGAGGCGCGAAAGCGUGGGGAGCAAACAGGAUUAGAUACCCGUGGUAGUCCACGCUGUAAACGAUGUGUGCUAGAUGUUGGGUAA